GAGGGGUGUACUCACUUUUGUGAGAUAAUGUGUGUAUAUAUAUAUAUAUAUAUAUAUACACACAUUAUAUAUAUAUACACACAUUAUCUCACAAAAGUGAGUACACCCC
This 109-nucleotide microRNA precursor is filed under the name Pelobates cultripes (western spadefoot toad). Lineage: Eukaryota; Metazoa; Chordata; Amphibia; Anura; Pelobatidae. The record is from RNAcentral.